This 453-nucleotide ribosomal RNA is filed under the name uncultured Bacteroides sp. Its description in RNAcentral is "partial 16S ribosomal RNA". It matches the Rfam family "Bacterial small subunit ribosomal RNA", at positions 341 to 792 of the family's 1533-position model. Lineage: Bacteria; Pseudomonadati; Bacteroidota; Bacteroidia; Bacteroidales; Bacteroidaceae. The record is from RNAcentral.
ACGGGAGGCAGCAGUGAGGAAUAUUGGUCAAUGGGCGGAAGCCUGAACCAGCCAAGUCGCGUGAAGGAUGAAGGUAUUAUGUAUUGUAAACUUCUUUAGCAGCAGAGUAAUAAGGGGGUCGAGACCUCCGAUGCAAGUAUGCUGAGAAUAAGGAUCGGCUAACUCCGUGCCAGCAGCCGCGGUAAUACGGAGGAUCCGAGCGUUAUCCGGAUUUAUUGGGUUUAAAGGGUGCGCAGGCGGCCUGUUAAGUCAGCGGUUAAAUCGUGGAGCUCAACUCCAUCGCGCCGUUGAUACUGAUGGGCUUGAUUGCGGUUGAGGUUGGCGGAAUUCGCCGUGUAGCGGUGAAAUGCAUAGAUAUGGCGAAGAACUCCGAUUGCGAAGGCAGCUGACUGUAGCGUAACUGACGCUGAAGCUCGAAGGUGCGGGUAUCGAACAGGAUUAGAUACCCUGGUA